GCCAUUGUGAUGUAGUGGUUUGAGUGCUGGACUACAGCUCUGGAGAUCAGGGUUUGAAUCCCUGCUUGGCC
RNAcentral lists this transfer RNA (71 nucleotides) under Phrynosoma platyrhinos (Desert horned lizard). RNAcentral describes it as "tRNA-OTHER". The record is from RNAcentral. Lineage: Eukaryota; Metazoa; Chordata; Lepidosauria; Squamata; Phrynosomatidae.